Molecule: long non-coding RNA, 382 nt
Filed under: Bos taurus (domestic cattle)
Lineage: Eukaryota; Metazoa; Chordata; Mammalia; Artiodactyla; Bovidae
Description: long non-coding RNA NONBTAT015195
Source: RNAcentral
GUUUUCUCCCUAAAGUCCUCUUACACAGUUCUAGCUCUACUGUGCCUGAAAAGAGGUCUGUAAACUUUCACAGGCUAACCCUGGUUUCCCCAGGGAAGUUGCAAUUCAGUAACGAUAGAGUCUUGUUUUAGUAGACAGUAACUUAAGCGCCUGCCUGCCUACCAACAUCUUCCCACUUAACCAUUCUUAGGGUUAACAAUCUGUGAUUAUUUUGGACUCCAAAUACCUGUAGUGUCAAUGGUCUUGUGUAUUCUGACCCUGUGUCUAUAUGCCUAUGACCUGGGAUGAAGGAUCUUUACUGUAGUCUGUACAUACUCAAAUUCAUAGCCUAUUCCUUAAGCAAAUGGUUUUCAAACUUCGAUUGUUAACAGCAGAACUGGAU